Molecule: transfer RNA, 68 nt
Filed under: Dremomys rufigenis opimus
Lineage: Eukaryota; Metazoa; Chordata; Mammalia; Rodentia; Sciuridae
Description: tRNA-Trp
Source: RNAcentral
AGGAAUUUAGGUUAAACCAGACCAAGAGCCUUCAAAGCUCUAAGUAAGUAGCUANUACUUAAUUCCUG